Molecule: ribosomal RNA, 105 nt
Filed under: Naegleria gruberi
Lineage: Eukaryota; Heterolobosea; Eutetramitea; Acrasida; Naegleriidae
Source: RNAcentral
GGCUACGGCCAUAUCACGAUGAAUGCACCUCAUCCCGUCCGAUUUGAGAAGUCCACAUCAGUACUGUGGUUGGAGACAACUUGGGAACCUGUGGUGCUGUAGUCU